Molecule: long non-coding RNA, 2358 nt
Organism: Trifolium pratense (red clover)
Lineage: Eukaryota; Viridiplantae; Streptophyta; Magnoliopsida; Fabales; Fabaceae
Exons: 4
Source: RefSeq, a predicted model, not a curated record
AAAAAAAAAAAAAUUAACAAACUCCCACAGUUAACAUACGCAGAAACAAUACAGUUCCUUCGAACCCUUAUUCUUCACCGCAACAAAAAUCCAAUUCUUCUUCUUCACUGAAACAAUCGAUUGAAUCCUUCAUCACUGCAAACACUUCAAAAUCGAACCCUUUGUUAAACUCUUCUCACGAACCCAGAAAUCCCUUAGUCAAACUCGAAUCAUUCACAUAAAACCCAGAAAUCCUACUCUUCACCGCCGAGAAAUCGAACCCCGUCGCUGCAAACUCCAACCCUUCACUGCAAACUUGAACCCCAUCGCAGCUCUCUUAGUCCGUAUAUGUAAUCUGCAAACCCUAACUUCUUUUUUUAGUUGUUUGAUUGCAAUUUCUUGUUGCUAUUGUUUCCUUUUCUGUUUCUGGUGCUGUGUUGCAAAGAGAUUAUUGCAAUUUCCAUAUUAUUAUUAUUAUUAUUAUUAUUAUUAUUAUUAUUAUUAUUAUUAUUUUCUCUUCUAGUUGUUGUGUAGUGAUGAGAGAUGUUGAGUUGAGUAUAAUUUUAAUUUGUUGGAAUAUUACAUAUUCUCUUUUUUCCACAUUUUAACAGUUUUUAAUUUGGUGGAUUAGUAUCUAUUUUAAAUUAUUCUUAUAAUAUAAUUUUGGGGAAGCAACUUUAUACAUAGAGGCUAUGAAUCUUAUGAUGAUUACUAUGGUUUUGGUUCUGUGUUUUUUACUCUAUUAUCAUUACAGGUUCACAGGAAAUUGGACCUUAUCUUGUGGUUGGUUUACAUAUCUGAUAAUGCUAUAUUAGGCUUUCAUUAUCAUUUAUUAAUACUCUGCAACUCAUAAUAAUAAGUGUAUUACUGUUGUAAUGCAGCCACAACAAUUAUCACAAUAGAUGAUAAGUAUUGCUUUGUCCUGGUUUGUUGUUGUUAGUUUUGGGAGAUUGUUUCGUUUUAGUUUGUUUGAAAAGAUCGAAGCAUGCCGUUUGUGUUUUCCUUGCUAUAGGGUGUUAUUCAAGAACUGGUUGUUUAGUUCCAGUUCUUCCUUUAUAUACCAGUUCAAAUCAGUUUGGUUUUGCGAGAGGUCAAGGUGAUGGGCUCUCAAAAUAUGUCAAGUUUGAAAGAAAUUGCAGCCCUUGUAUACAAGUUCAAAUCAGUUUCAAUAGCUGUUAAUAUGACACAAUCUAUGGAAGUUGUCUGUGAGGUAAUUUUCGCCCUUGCUCUCCUAAGUAUUGUUGUCUCUUUUUAUGUAAACCUCUGUAAAUACUAUAUUUAACUUAGUUCACUAUUACUGAACUUUUUCGUAACACUUGGUUCAGUUUUAUACUUUUGUGAUAUUCUAUGAUUGACAUGGCUUGAAUCAAUUCAUUUUGACUUGUUAUUGGAGGGCGUGCUGUGUUAGAUGGUGUGAUUCUUUAGCAGCUCCCCCCAUUAUUUUUGUUUGUAGGUCUGCCAAUGCCACCAUGAUAUCUCUCACUUAUAUUUAGAUUAUAAUAUGUUUCUUCUGACAGCCAAAGCAACUUGGAUAAGUUCAAGUCUGAGGAUUGUAAUAUUCUCCCUUGUACUGACAUAGCUAGAAGGAGACUGGAUAUGAAGUGUUCACUUUGUGUUUAACUUAUUAUUCAAUUGUUUACUAAUCUAUAAUCCUCUUACUGAUAAUGUGUAUAGAAGGCGGCAAUGACAGAUGUCAACUGUUGUGACAUAUGCAUUGCUGCCAUUAUCUUAGUUCCAAUAUCAAUUAUUAGAAGUUAUUUAGUUUGUUUAUCAUGUCACAUGACAGGUAUUUCCUGUUACUCAAAAGAAAUUUUGUGGAUUCAAUCCUUUUACAACGUUUGUGUGCUAUAAAAUUAUUUUAUAAUACGAGGUUCUACACAAACUUAUAAGCUAUGAGGUUUGGCACAUCUCUCGCUCUCAAACAUAGGAAAUUCACACAAAGGUUCAAGUUAUUGACAUCUAUCUAGUCUCUUUUUAAUCCACACAUAGGCCGUACAAAAUGCUGCUUAUAAGCUGAUUGGCAUGUUGUCUAUAUAGUGUGCAAUAUGUCACAAUCUACGGAAGUUGUUCAUGAGUGUUGGAAAAGUGAACUUCACAUGUCUAUAUAACUGGUUUAUAUAGAAUUAGAAGAGUCUGCAACUCUGCAUCAAUAUACUUUGUUGGAACUGAAGUUUUACAUUGAGAAAAGUAUUAUUGACUAGACAUUCACAUAUUCAUUAUUGUGUUGGUUCUCAGUGUGUGUUAGAAUUGUAAUUAGUUUGUAGUUAGUUUAGUUACUUAUUUCUUCAUGAGUGAUAUUAUACCCCUUAAAUUAGUUUGUAAAUUUGUUCUUAUGUAAUUUAAAUUGGGCAAAAUAAAUUACUCUCAUUUGGAUAUUUG